RNAcentral lists this ribosomal RNA (253 nucleotides) under uncultured organism. RNAcentral describes it as "partial 16S ribosomal RNA". It matches the Rfam family "Bacterial small subunit ribosomal RNA", at positions 524 to 776 of the family's 1533-position model. The record is from RNAcentral.
UACGGAGGGGGCUAGCGUUAUUCGGAAUUAUUGGGCGUAAAGAGCGCGUAGGUGGUUUUGUAAGUUGGAAGUGAAAGCCCAAGGCUUAACCUUGGAACUGCUUUCAAAACUGCAGAACUAGAGGUUGAUAGGGGAUAGUGGAAUUCCUAGUGUAGAGGUGAAAUUCUUAGAUAUUAGGAGGAACACCGGUGGCGAAGGCGACUAUCUGGAUCAAUACUGACACUAAGGUGCGAAAGCGUGGGGAGCAAACAGG